UACGUAGGGGGCAAGCGUUGUCCGGAUUUAUUGGGCGUAAAGAGCUCGUAGGUGGUUUGGUAAGUCGGAUGUGAAAUCUCCAGGCUCAACCUGGAGGGGUCAUUCGAUACUGCCAUGACUAGAGGUCGGUAGGGGAGUGUGGAAUUCCUGGUGGAGCGGUGAAAUGCGCAGAUAUCAGGAGGAACACCGGUGGCGAAGGCGGGUCUCUGGGCCGAUACUGACGCUGAGGAGCGAGAGCGUGGGGAGCGAACAGG
This 254-nucleotide ribosomal RNA is filed under the name uncultured bacterium. Its description in RNAcentral is "partial 16S ribosomal RNA". It matches the Rfam family "Bacterial small subunit ribosomal RNA", at positions 524 to 776 of the family's 1533-position model. The record is from RNAcentral.